UCCCCUAGUAACUGCGAGUGAAGCGGGAAAAGCUCAAAUUUAAAAUCUGGCGGUCUUUGGCCGUCCGAGUUGUAAUUUAGAGAAGCGUCUUCCGCGCUGGACCGUGCACAAGUCUCCUGGAAUGGAGCGUCAUAGAGGGUGAGAAUCCCGUCUUUGGCACGGAUGCCCGGUGCUUCUGUGAUGCGCUCUCGAAGAGUCGAGUUGUUUGGGAAUGCAGCUCAAAAUGGGUGGUGAACUCCAUCUAAAGCUAAAUAUUGGCGAGAGACCGAUAGCGAACAAGUACCGUGAGGGAAAGAUGAAAAGCACUUUGGAAAGAGAGUGAAACAGUACGUGAAAUUGUUGAAAGGGAAACGCUUGAAGUCAGUCGCGUCGACCGAGACUCAGCCUUGCCUUGGCUUGGUGUACUUCUCGGCCCGACGGGUCAGCAUCAAUUUUGCCCCUCGGAUAAUGGCAAGGGAAAGGUGGCACCUUUACGGGUGUGUUAUAGUCUCCUGUCGCAUGCGAGGGGUGGGAUUGAGGAACUCAGCGCGCACCUUGGUGUYGGGGCUUCGGCCCACGUCACGCGCUUAGGAUGCUGGCGUAAUGGCUUUAAACGACCCGUCUUGAAACACGGACCAAGGAGUCCAACACGCCCGCGAGUGUUCGGGUGGAAAACCCGUGCGCGUAAUGAAAGUGAAAGUUGGGACCUCUGUCGUGGAGGGCACCGACGCCCGGACCAGACCUUCUGUGACGGAUCUGCGGUAGAGCGUGUGUGUUGGGACCCGAAAGAUGGUGAACUAUGCCUGAAUAGGGUGAAGCCAGAGGAAACUCUGGUGGAGGCUCGUAGCGAUUCUGACGUGCAAAUCGAUCGUCAAAUUUGGGUAUAGGGGCGAAAGACUAAUCGA
This 884-nucleotide ribosomal RNA is filed under the name Lactarius olympianus. RNAcentral describes it as "eukaryotic LSU rRNA". It matches the Rfam family "Eukaryotic large subunit ribosomal RNA", at positions 76 to 938 of the family's 3401-position model. The record is from RNAcentral. Lineage: Eukaryota; Fungi; Basidiomycota; Agaricomycetes; Russulales; Russulaceae.